GAUGAACGCUGGCGGCGUGCCUAAUACAUGCAAGUCGAACGAGGUGCUUGAGUAGCAAUACGAGAGUAUCCUAGUGGCGAACGGGUGAGUAACGCGUGGAUGACCUGCCCCAAAGUGUGGGAUAACAGUCCGAAAGGAUUGCUAAUACCUCAUGUGGUUAUCGGUUUUAGAAAGCGAUAACUAAAGCAGCAAUGCGCUUUGGGAGGGAUCUGCGUCCCAUCAGCUAGUUGGUGAGGUAACGGCUCACCAAGGCGACGACGGGUAGGGGACCUGAGAGGGUGGCCCCCCACAAUGGAACUGAAACACGGUCCAUACACCUACGGGUGGCAGCAGUAGGGAAUAUUGCUCAAUGGGCGAAAGCCUGAAGCAGCAACGCCGCGUGUGCGAUG
RNAcentral lists this ribosomal RNA (389 nucleotides) under uncultured bacterium. RNAcentral describes it as "bacterial SSU rRNA". It matches the Rfam family "Bacterial small subunit ribosomal RNA", at positions 28 to 410 of the family's 1533-position model. The record is from RNAcentral.